UGCUAGUCGAGCGCUUCCUAGCCAAUUUGGGAGCGCGGCGCACAGCUCAGUAACACGUGGCUAACCUGCCCUUGGGACGAGGACACCCCCGGGAAACUGGGGCUAAUCCUCGAUAGGUGAAGAACUCUGGAAUGAGUCUCCACCCAAAAGACGCUUACGCUAUGCUUGUAGGCGCCGCCCAAGGAUGGGGCCGCGACCGAUCAGGUUGUUGGUGAGGCAACGGCUCACCAAGCCUAUAACCGGUGCGGGCCGUGGGAGCGGGAGCCCGGAGAUGGGCACUGAGACAAGGGCCCAGGCCCUACGGGGCGCAGCAGUCGCGAAAACUUUGCAAUACACGAAAGUGUGACAGGGCUAUCCCGAGUGCCAUCCGCUGAGGAAGGCUUUUACCCAGUGUAGAUAGCUGGGGGAAUAAGGAGAGGGCAAGACUGGUGUCAGCCGCCGCGGUAAUACCAGCUCUCCGAGUGGUGUGGAUGUUUAUUGGGCCUAAAGCAUCCGUAGCUGGCCGGACAAGUCCCCUGUUAAAUCCACCGAUUCAAUCGUUGGUGUGCGGGGGAUACUGUUCGGCUAGGGGACGGGAGAGGCAGACGGUAUUUCCGGGGUAGGGGUGAAAUCCUAUAAUCCCGGGAAGACCACCAGUGGCGAAGGCUGUCUGCUAGAACGCGCCCGACGGUGAGGGAUGAAAGCUGGGGGAGCGAACCGGAUUAGAUACCCGGGUAGUCCCAGCUGUAAACGAUGCAGCUAGGUGUUUGGGCGGCCACGUGCCGCUCUAGUGCCGCAGGAAGUCGUUAAGCCUGCCGCCUGGGGAGUACGGCCGCAAGGCUGAAACUUAA
This 830-nucleotide ribosomal RNA is filed under the name uncultured crenarchaeote. RNAcentral describes it as "bacterial SSU rRNA". It matches the Rfam family "Archaeal small subunit ribosomal RNA", at positions 52 to 859 of the family's 1478-position model. The record is from RNAcentral. Lineage: Archaea; Thermoproteati; Thermoproteota.